This 749-nucleotide ribosomal RNA is filed under the name uncultured bacterium. RNAcentral's name for it is "bacterial SSU rRNA". It matches the Rfam family "Bacterial small subunit ribosomal RNA", at positions 57 to 797 of the family's 1533-position model. The record is from RNAcentral.
GCAAGUCGAACGGCAGCACAGGAGAGCUUGCUCUCUGGGUGGCGAGUGGCGUAAGGGUGAGGAAUACAUCGGAAUCUACUUUUUCGUGGGGGAUAACGUAGGGAAACUUACGCUAAUACCGCAUACGACCUACGGGUGAAAGCAGGGGAUCUUCGGACCUUGCGCGAUUGAAUGAGCCGAUGUCGGAUUAGCUAGUUGGCGGGGUAAAGGCCCACCAAGGCGACGAUCCGUAGCUGGUCUGAGAGGAUGAUCAGCCACACUGGAACUGAGACACGGUCCAGACUCAUACGGGAGGCAGCAGUGGGGAAUAUUGGACAAUGGGCGCAAGCCUGAUCCAGCCAUACCGCGUGGGUGAAGAAGGCCUUCGGGUUGUAAAGCCCUUUUGUUGGGAAAGAAAUCCAGCUGGCUAAUACCCGGUUGGGAUGACGGUACCCAAAGAAUAAGCACCGGCUAACUUCGUGCCAGCAGCCGCGGUAAUACGAAGGGUGCAAGCGUUACUCGGAAUUACUGGGCGUAAAGCGUGCGUAGGUGGUCGUUUAAGUCCGUUGUGAAAGCCCUGGGCUCAACCUGGGAACUGCAGUGGAUACUGGGCGACUAGAUUGAGGAGAGGGUAGCGGAAUUCCUGGUGUAACAGUGAAAUGCUAGAGAUCAAGAGGAACAUCCAUGGCGAAGGCAGCUACCUGGACCAACAUUGACACUGAGGCACGAAAGCAUGGGGAGCAAACAGGAUUAGAUACCCUGGUAGUCCU